CGUGGAGACAGGUGGUGCAUGGCUGUCGUCAGCUCGUGUCGUGAGAUGUUGGGUUAAGUCCCGCAACGAGCGCAACCCUCACCCCUAGUUGCCACCGGGUUAAGCCGAGCACUCAAGGGGAACUGCCAGCGUCAAGCUGGAGGAAGGCGGGGAUGACGUCAAGUCAUCAUGCCCCUUACGCCCUGGGCUACACACGUGCUACAAUGGCCAGUACAAAGGACGCGAGACUGCGAAGUGGAGCUAAUCCCAAAAAGCUGGUCUAAGUUCAGAUUGCAGUCUGCAACUCGACUGCAUGAAGGAGGAAUCGCUAGUAAUCGCGUAUCAGCCCGGCGCGGUGAAUACGUUCCCGGGCCUUGUACACACCGCCCGUCACACCACGAAAGCUGUCUGUACUCGAAGUCGCUGAG
Molecule: ribosomal RNA, 407 nt
Filed under: uncultured Methylomirabilota bacterium
Lineage: Bacteria; Methylomirabilota (SeqCode)
Description: bacterial SSU rRNA
Rfam family: Bacterial small subunit ribosomal RNA
Source: RNAcentral